This 3119-nucleotide long non-coding RNA is filed under the name Sus scrofa (pig). Its description in RNAcentral is "lncRNA (ENSSSCG00000056009.1)". The record is from RNAcentral. Lineage: Eukaryota; Metazoa; Chordata; Mammalia; Artiodactyla; Suidae.
AUUAUCAAUUAUACAUAUCUUAUUCAAAUUUCCUCAAUUUCCCAUUAAAGAUGGUUUUCUAUUUUUAUCAUUACUUCUAUUUUUAGUUUAUUAUUUGGAUUUCUAUGUGAGGAAGAGCUUUCCUUCUAUUUGAGUUUUUAAUUUAACCAUUCGUUUAUUCAUUUACUUACAUAACAAUAUGGACUCAUACUCCUAUAUGCAUUUUUCAAUUUUUUAAGGUAUAGCCCAUUUACUAUGUUGUGCCAAUUUCUGCUGUGCAUAAAAGUGACCCAGUCAUACAUAUAAAUACAUUCCUUUUCUUAUAUUAUCUUCCAUCAUGGUCUAUCCCAAGAGACUGGAUAUAGUUCCCUGUAAUAUACAGUAGGACCUCAUUGUUUAUCUAUUCUAAAUGUAAUACAUUGCAUCUACUAACCCCCAAACCCCAGUCCAUCCCACUCCCUCCUCCUCCCCCUUGGCAACUACAAGAUUGUUCUCCAUGUCUGUGAGUCGUGUUUGUGUCAUAGAUAGGUUCAUUUGUUCCAUAUUUUAGAUUACACAUAUAAGUGGUACCAUUUGGUAUUUAUCUUCCCCUUUCUGACUUACUUCACUUAGUAUAAGAGUCUCUAGUUCCAUCCAUGUUGCUGCAAACAGCAUGAUUUCAUUCUUUUUAAUGGCUGAGUAUUAUUCCAUUGUUCUUAAUGAAACAUCUUAAUCCAUUCAUUUGCUAAUGGACAUUUAGGUUGCUUCCAUGUCUUGGCUAUUUUGAAUAGUGCUGCAAUGAAAGUAUGGGUACAUGUAUCUUUUUGAAUUAUAGUUUUUUCCAGAUAUAUGCCCAGGACUAUUUAGUUUUCUAAAGAGCCUCCAUAUUGUUUUCCAUAGUCGUUGUACCAAUUUACAUUUCCAUCAACAGUGUAGGGGGGUUCUCUUUUCUCCACACCCUCUCCAGCAUUUGUCAUUUGUAGACUUAUUAAUGAUAGUCAUUCUGACCAGUGUGAGAUGGUACCUCAUUGUAAUUUUGAUUUGCAUUUCACUAUGAGUGAUGUUGAGCAUCUUUCCAUGUGCCUAGUGGCCAUCCAUGUAUCUUCUUUGGAUAAAUGUCUAUUUAGGUCUUCUGACCAUUUUUUGACUGGUUGUUUGUUUUUUGGUUGUUUACUAUUGAGUUGUAUGAGUUGCUUAUAUAUUUUUGGAAAUUAAGCCCUUGUCAGUUGCAUCAUUUGCAACUGUUUCUUCCAUUCUGUAGGUUGUUGUUAUAGUUUUUUUAUGGUUUCCUUUGCUGUGCAAAAGUUUUUAAGUUCGAUUAGGUCCCAUUGGUUUAUUUGUGUUUUUAUUUCUAUUGCCUUGGGAGACUGACCUAAGAAAACAUUUGUAUGGUUGAUGUCAGAGAAUGUUUUAUCUGUCUUCUCUUGGAAGAGUUUUGUGGUGUUGUACCUUAUUUUUAAGUCUUAGAGCCAUUUUGAAUUUAUCUUUUGUACAUGGCAUGAUCCAUGAAAAUCAGUGAAACUAGAAGGUAUGUUCUAGUUUCAUUGAUUUACAUGCAGCUCUCCAGUUUUCCUGGUACCACCUGAUAAAGAGACUUUUUCCUAUUUUAUAGUCUUGCCUCCUUUGUCAAAGAUUAAUUGACUGUAGGUGUCUGGGUUUAUUUCUGGGCUCUCUAUUCUGUUCAAUUGAUCAGUAUGUCUGUUUUUGUACCAGUACCACACUGUCUGAUUACUGUGGCUUUGCAAUUUUAUCUGAAGUCAGGGAGUGUUAAGCCUCCUGCUUUGCUUUUUUUCCUCAGAAUUGCUUAGGCUUCCAUAUAAAUUUUGGAUUGUUUAUUCUAGUUCUAUAAAAAAUGUCAUGGGUAAUUUCAUAGGGAUUGUAUCAGCUCUAUACAUUGCUUUGGUUAGUAUGGCCAUUUUAACAAUAUUAAUUCUUCCAAUCCAGGAGCAUGGGAUAUCUUUCCAUUUCUUUGAAUCCUCUUUACUUUCCUUGAUUAAUGUUUUUAACUUCUCAGCCUAUAAAUCUUUCACUUCCUUGGUCAGGUUUAUCCCUAAGGAUUUUGGGGGGUGUGAUUUUAAAAGGCAUUUUUUAUAUUCCUUUUAUAAUAUUUCACUGUUAAUAUCAGAAAUGAAACUGAUUUCUUCUGAAUGUUAAUCUUAUAUCCUGAUACUCUGCUGAAUUCAUUUAUCAGAUUGAACAUUUUUUGUGUGAAUUCCUUAGAGCUUCCUACAUAUAAUAUCAUGUCAUCUGCAGAUAGUGACAAUUUUACCUCCUCUUUUCCAAGAUACCUUUUCUUUUUCUUUUCUUUUUUGUCUGAUUACUGUGGCUAGGACUUCCAGUACUAUGUUGAAUUAAAGUGGUGAGAGUUGGCAUUCUUGGCUUAUUCCAGAUUUUAGUGAGGUUCCUAUUUUAUUUUAUGGUUUUAAUAUAUUAUAAUUUUAGUGAUUUUAUUAUCCAAAUUAUCCCAGACUUGGUCAAUGAAUGUCCUUUCUAGUUAUAUCCUGUAUCCUUCGGAAAUAUCCAUAUCACUUUUGAGCAAUCCCUUACUUUUUGGUAUAGGCUCAUCUUUUCAUUUCCCUGCCCCAGGCCUAUUAGUAUCAGUCAUUUCUUCAAGGAGCCUGGGCUUACUUUAACUGAAGAAUAGUAUUUAAAAAUCAAUAUCUGAGUGCUAAAUGUGCUUGUGACACUGGAAUGGCAUUGCUUUGGGGUCUUUUCAGCAGACAGAGCUAGGAAAUUUUUUAUGUAUGAAUAUAUGUACACAACUAUAUCAACUUCUAUAUAUUCUAUGAAUUCAUAUUAAUAUUUACAAUUUCAGUCAUACAUCCAGAAUGUAUUUCAUUCUUCCCCCUUUCCUUGUUUAUAACCCCUUUUUUUCCAGCAAUGUGUGUGUACUUAUUUGUUCAAUUCCAGAAUACACAAAAAGUAGUUUCAGAAUUCUUAAUCUGGAGUUCCCAACGUGGCGCAGUGGUUAACAAAUCUGACUAGGAACCAUGAGGUUGCGGGUUAGGUCUCUGGCCUUGCUCAGUGGGUUAAGGAUCUGGCAUUACCGUGAGCUGUGGUGUAAGUUGCAGACAUGGCUCUGGUGUAGGCCAGCAGCUACAGCUCUGAUUAAACCCCUAGCCUGGGAACCUCCAUAUCCCAUGGGAGUGGCCCUAGAAAAG